CGACUCUCGGCAACGGAUAUCUCGGCUCACGCAUCGAUGAAGAACGUAGCAAAAUGCGAUACUUGGUGUGAAUUGCAGAAUCCCGUGAACCAUCGAGUUUUUGAACGCAAGUUGCGCCCAAAGCCAUUCGGUUGAGGGCACGUCUGCCUGGGCGUCACG
Molecule: ribosomal RNA, 159 nt
Filed under: Melampodium longifolium
Lineage: Eukaryota; Viridiplantae; Streptophyta; Magnoliopsida; Asterales; Asteraceae
Also listed under: 1 other name
Description: 5.8S ribosomal RNA
Rfam family: 5.8S ribosomal RNA
About the family: 5.8S ribosomal RNA (5.8S rRNA) is a component of the large subunit of the eukaryotic ribosome. It is transcribed by RNA polymerase I as part of the 45S precursor that also contains 18S and 28S rRNA.
Source: RNAcentral